GAUGAACGCUGGCGGCGUGCCUAAUACAUGCAAGUAGAACGCUGAAGGAGGAGCUUGCUCUUCUGGAUGAGUUGCGAACGGGUGAGUAACGCGUAGGUAACCUGCCUGGUAGCGGGGGAUAACUAUUGGAAGCGAUAGCUAAUACCGCAUGACAACAGUUAUUGCAUGAUAACUGUUUAAAAGGGGCAACUGCUCCACUACCAGAUGGACCUGCGUUGUAUUAGCUAGUUGGUGAGGUAACGGCUCACCAAGGCGACGAUACAUAGCCGACCUGAGAGGGGGGUGGGCCACGCUGGGAGUGGGACACGGCCCAGGCUCCUUCGGGAGGCAGCAGUAGGGGAUCUUCGGCAAUGGACGGAAGUCUGACCGAGCAACGCCGCGUGAGUGCAGAAGGUUUUCGGAUCGUAAAGCUCUGUUGUAGGAGAAGAACGAGUGUGAGAGUGGAAAGUUCACACUGUGACGGUAUCUUACCAGAAAGGGACGGCUAACUACGUG
This 495-nucleotide ribosomal RNA is filed under the name uncultured bacterium. Its description in RNAcentral is "partial 16S ribosomal RNA". It matches the Rfam family "Bacterial small subunit ribosomal RNA", at positions 28 to 507 of the family's 1533-position model. The record is from RNAcentral.